UACGAAGGGGGCUAGCGUUGCUCGGAAUCACUGGGCGUAAAGCGCACGUAGGCGGCUUUCUAAGUCAGGGGUGAAAUCUUGGAGCUCAACUCCAGAACUGCCUUUGAUACUGGAGAGCUAGAGUCCGGAAGAGGUGAGUGGAACUGCGAGUGUAGAGGUGAAAUUCGUAGAUAUUCGCAAGAACACCAGUGGCGAAGGCGGCUCACUGGUCCGGUACUGACGCUGAGGUGCGAAAGCGUGGGGAGCAAACAGG
RNAcentral lists this ribosomal RNA (253 nucleotides) under uncultured bacterium. RNAcentral's name for it is "partial 16S ribosomal RNA". It matches the Rfam family "Bacterial small subunit ribosomal RNA", at positions 524 to 776 of the family's 1533-position model. The record is from RNAcentral.